RNAcentral lists this ribosomal RNA (253 nucleotides) under uncultured bacterium. Its description in RNAcentral is "partial 16S ribosomal RNA". It matches the Rfam family "Bacterial small subunit ribosomal RNA", at positions 524 to 776 of the family's 1533-position model. The record is from RNAcentral.
UACGUAGGGUCCGAGCGUUGUCCGGAAUUAUUGGGCGUAAAGGUCUCGUAGGCGGCCAACUAAGUCGGAUGUGAAAUCCCCAGGCUCAACUUGGGAACUGCAUCCGAUACUGGAUGGCUUGAAUUCGGGAGAGGGAUGCAGAAUUCCAGGUGUAGCGGUGAAAUGCGUAGAUAUCUGGAGGAAUACCGGUGGCGAAGGCGGGUCUCUGGGCCGUAACUGACGCUGAGGAGCGAAAGCGUGGGGAGCGAACAGG